RNAcentral lists this ribosomal RNA (716 nucleotides) under Acinetobacter calcoaceticus. RNAcentral's name for it is "bacterial SSU rRNA". It matches the Rfam family "Bacterial small subunit ribosomal RNA", at positions 30 to 740 of the family's 1533-position model. Lineage: Bacteria; Pseudomonadati; Pseudomonadota; Gammaproteobacteria; Moraxellales; Moraxellaceae. The record is from RNAcentral.
UGAACGCUGGCGGCAGGCUUAACACAUGCAAGUCGAGCGGGGUGAUGGUGCUUGCACUAUCACUUAGCGGCGGACGGGUGAGUAAUGCUUAGGAAUCUGCCUAUUAGUGGGGGACAACAUUUCGAAAGGAAUGCUAAUACCGCAUACGUCCUACGGGAGAAAGCAGGGGAUCUUCGGACCUUGCGCUAAUAGAUGAGCCUAAGUCGGAUUAGCUAGUUGGUGGGGUAAAGGCCUACCAAGGCGACGAUCUGUAGCGGGUCUGAGAGGAUGAUCCGCCACACUGGGACUGAGACACGGCCCAGACUCCUACGGGAGGCAGCAGUGGGGAAUAUUGGACAAUGGGCGCAAGCCUGAUCCAGCCAUGCCGCGUGUGUGAAGAAGGCCUUAUGGUUGUAAAGCACUUUAAGCGAGGAGGAGGCUACUUUAGAUAAUACCUAGAGAUAGUGGACGUUACUCGCAGAAUAAGCACCGGCUAACUCUGUGCCAGCAGCCGCGGUAAUACAGAGGGUGCAAGCGUUAAUCGGAUUUACUGGGCGUAAAGCGCGCGUAGGCGGCUAAUUAAGUCAAAUGUGAAAUCCCCGAGCUUAACUUGGGAAUUGCAUUCGAUACUGGUUAGCUAGAGUGUGGGAGAGGAUGGUAGAAUUCCAGGUGUAGCGGUGAAAUGCGUAGAGAUCUGGAGGAAUACCGAUGGCGAAGGCAGCCAUCNGGCCUAACAC